UGAGGAAUAUUGCACAAUGGGGGAAACCCUGAUGCAGCGACGCCGCGUGAAGGAAGAAGGCUUUCGGGUUGUAAACUUCUUUUAAGGGGGAACAGUAGAAGAGGGUACCCCUUGAAUAAGCCACGGCUAACUACGUGCCAGCAGCCGCGGUAAUACGUAGGUGGCAAGCGCUGUCCGGAUUUACUGGGUGUAAAGGGCGUGCAGCCGGAGAGACAAGUCAGAUGUGAAAUCCGCGGGCUUAACCCGCGAACUGCAUUUGAAACUGUUUCCCUUGAGUAUCGGAGAGGUAAUCGGAAUUCCUAGUGUAGCGGUGAAAUGCGUAGAUAUUAGGAAGAACACCAGUGGCGAAGGCGGAUUACUGGACGACAACUGACGGUGAGGCGCGAAAGCGUGGGGAGCAAACAGGAUUAGAUACCCUGGUAGU
This 424-nucleotide ribosomal RNA is filed under the name uncultured Oscillibacter sp. Its description in RNAcentral is "bacterial SSU rRNA". It matches the Rfam family "Bacterial small subunit ribosomal RNA", at positions 355 to 794 of the family's 1533-position model. The record is from RNAcentral. Lineage: Bacteria; Bacillati; Bacillota; Clostridia; Eubacteriales; Oscillospiraceae.